UUUUCACACAUCUCUGGUUCGAGCUCAAUUUCUCCAUUUCUCUCUCUCUCUCUUUCUCUCUAUCUCUCUCAAAACAUCAACCAACGUUCGAGAUGGUGGCUUGAGGGAAGGAAGAGGGCUGCAACGGUGAACGAAGUCGACCCUUCUUCUACAGAUCUCACAAAAUCCUUCAAAAAAAUCAGACAAGGAUAUCUAUCAAAUUUGUCGCAAGUACCCUUUCCUUCCUUGCCUCUUCUGCUCAGCCUUCUCUGUACGUCCAGUUCUUGUUCGAUGACCAGAGAUUGAGAUGCUGUUGGUAGACCGAGCAAGGCCAUCCAUCGAUGAGUAGACCCUCACACCACCCACCUCCGAACAUAACUCCUUUUUCCAUUCUUCAUGCCCUCUUUGACGAACCUCCCCGAACCUAUAUCUUAGAUUUCAUUGAGAUGAUGGUUUAUAAUUCAAAUCAUACAUGAAUUCGAACCAUUUUUGGGCACUUAUUCCUUGUAUAGUUGCAAUUUGGGAGAAAUGGUGGCUACCAAAUCGUCCUAUCGCGAUCGAGAAGCAAAAUCACAACUGCGUUGCUGGUGGGUACCAUAUUGACCAUGGUUAAUUAGCCGAGUCUCCGUUUCAGGCAUGCGAUUGUGAAGGAAUUAGGUGAGAAUGGGGAAAUUGUACACACAUAUGCUCAAAAUAAAUAUGAACUAAAUAGCUAUUUGAAAAGUUAAUGAAAGAUACUUAAUGCAUUUGAUGAAAAGCUUUCAUGUACUUGUGAAUUUCAUGAAUUUCUAUGUUAAUUCGUUCUUUGGGAAACUUGUACUUGUUAAAGGAACCCUUUCUAAUCUCUUUUCUCUUAAGGUUUGAUGGUAAGUCAUUUUGUUUCACAUUUCUUCUUAUUUUACAUUGAUUUUUAUGCUUCUUUUAUUGAUAAUUUUAAGCAUGUGGUAGGUAAGUCCUGAAAAAGACAGGGAAGAGUUUCAUGAUAUAAGCAAGAAUAGUGGUGGAACUGGAGUCAAUGAUUUCUAUGAAUAUGCAGUUAAAUUUUGAGGAAAAUUUGGUAAUGUGGGUCAACACUAGUGACCAUGCAUAUUUGACAAUCAUAAUUUGUUUAAAUUUAAUCCUCUUAAGCUUAUUUAUGUAUUGAAAAUCAUAAUCUGUUUAACUUCAAUCCCCAUAGUUGUUUUACAUGCUCUUCAGGAAAGUCAUAUUGAAUCACUAACAUAAGUAUGGGAUCUUACCACAAAGCCAGUUUUAGGUGUGGGACCCUUGUGAGUGGCGACAAUAGUGGUGUUGUUCAGUUUUGGGAUAGUUUACAUGGUACUCUAUUGCAAGAACAUUCUUGUCAUGAAUGCUUUGGCGGCUAGUCCUACCCAUACUAGGGUAUUCUCAGUUGGAUCAGACAGUCAGGUUAUAUUAUAUAAGGUAUUUAGUGACAGAUCUUUAUCUCCUACUCCUACUAAUGCAAUUAAAAAGAAGUGCAUGUGGUGUAUGUUGAUUAUUGAGAACCUUGGUUGUUGUUGUACCUAUAAGUCGCAAAGGUAUAGGAAUUUUGUUUCCAAUUACUUAAUGAUGACUUGUUGUGUUUCCAUUGGAUUUUAAAGGGUAUUGUAAUUUCAGAACCUGAAAGUGAGAUGUUUAUAGUGAAUGGAGGAAGAAAAUUAUGUGAUGACUAUAGUGAAAUUAUUGAAGGUUGUAAAGAUGAUACUGGGUAUGUAUAAGGGCAAUCUGGGAAUUAUAAAGUUGAGUUGAUGAUCAUGUCAGGUUUUUGUUGAUAGUUUAUAUACCUUACAUUGAAUAAGUAAUGGUCAGUUCUAAAUAAUUUAUUUUA
Non-coding RNA from Lactuca sativa (garden lettuce), 1807 nucleotides. The record is from RefSeq and is a predicted model, not a curated record. NCBI's taxonomy places the organism in Eukaryota, Viridiplantae, Streptophyta, Magnoliopsida, Asterales, Asteraceae.